UGGAACAUAGCCAAGCGGUAAGGCUCUUGAUUCUGAAUCAAGUAUGCGUUAGUUCGAAUCUAACUGUUCCAACCA
RNAcentral lists this transfer RNA (75 nucleotides) under Mycoplasmataceae bacterium. RNAcentral describes it as "tRNA-Gln". It matches the Rfam family "tRNA". Rfam says of the family: Transfer RNA (tRNA) molecules are approximately 80 nucleotides in length. Lineage: Bacteria; Bacillati; Mycoplasmatota; Mollicutes; Mycoplasmatales; Mycoplasmataceae. The record is from RNAcentral.